UCGGGAGGCAGCAGUGGGGAAUAUUGCACAAUGGGCGAAAGCCUGAUGCAGCAACGCCGCGUGAGGGAUGACGGCCUUCGGGUUGUAAACCUCUUUUAGCAAGGAAGAAGCGAAAGUGACGGUACUUGCAGAAAAAGCGCCGGCUAACUACGUGCCAGCAGCCGCGGUAAUACGUAGGGCGCAAGCGUUAUCCGGAAUUAUUGGGCGUAAAGAGCUCGUAGGCGGUUUGUCGCGUCUGCUGUGAAAACUGGAGGCUCAACCUCCAGCCUGCAGUGGGUACGGGCAGACUAGAGUGCGGUAGGGGAGAUUGGAAUUCCUGGUGUAGCGGUGGAAUGCGCAGAUAUCAGGAGGAACACCGAUGGCGAAGGCAGAUCUCUGGGCCGUAACUGACGCUGAGGAGCGAAAGGGUGGGGAGCAAACAGGCUUAGAUACCCUGGUAGUCCACCCCGUAAACGUUGGGAACUAGUUGUGGGGACCAUUCCACGGUUUCCGUGACGCAGCUAACGCA
Molecule: ribosomal RNA, 508 nt
Filed under: uncultured bacterium
Lineage: Bacteria
Description: bacterial SSU rRNA
Rfam family: Bacterial small subunit ribosomal RNA
Source: RNAcentral